RNAcentral lists this microRNA precursor (280 nucleotides) under Marmota monax (woodchuck). The record is from RNAcentral. Lineage: Eukaryota; Metazoa; Chordata; Mammalia; Rodentia; Sciuridae.
GGGGGAAGGAAGGGAAGGAGGGGGAUGGGAAUGGGAAGGUCAGUAGAAUGAAUUGGACAUAACUUUCCUAUGUCCCUGUAGGAAUACAUGACCAGAAUAACUCCACAUCAUGCUCAACUACAAGAACGGGAAGUUACAUUCCAUAUGUGUAGAAAGUGUCAAAAUAUAUUCUACUGUCAUUUAUAUCUACAAAGAACAACUGGAAGGAAUGGGAAAGUUAUGUCUAAUUCAUUCUACUGUCCUUCCCAUUCCCAUCCCCCCUCUUCCCUUCAUUUGCCUU